CAGCGCCGCGAGUGGCAAUCACAUUUAUUGGGCCUAAAGCGUCCGUAGCCGGUUUGAUAAAUCCUUUGUGAAAUCGCUAAGCUUAACUUAGCGGCGUGCAAGGGACACUGUCAAACUUGGGACCGGAAGGGGUCAGAGGUAUUCUAGGGGGAGCGGUAAAAUGUUAUAAUCCCUGGAAGACCGCCGGUGGCGAAGGCGUCUGACCAGUACGGAUCCGACGGUGAGGGACGAAAGCUAGGGGAGCGAAUCGGAUUAGAGACCCGUGUAGUCC
This 271-nucleotide ribosomal RNA is filed under the name uncultured archaeon. Its description in RNAcentral is "partial 16S ribosomal RNA". It matches the Rfam family "Archaeal small subunit ribosomal RNA", at positions 477 to 747 of the family's 1478-position model. The record is from RNAcentral.